RNAcentral lists this small RNA (203 nucleotides) under Arabidopsis thaliana (thale cress). RNAcentral's name for it is "ATSL085170". The record is from RNAcentral. Lineage: Eukaryota; Viridiplantae; Streptophyta; Magnoliopsida; Brassicales; Brassicaceae.
CUGAGUUAAUGGAAAAAUCUGCCUGUAAUUUUACUCCGUUUAGAAGAUACUCACCCCAAAAUAAUUCAGAAGUAACAGAAGAUAAGGAGAAGACUGUAUUGACAAGAGAUGCUAACAUUGGUAACAGAGGAGCUAGUAAUAUUAACAAUGGUUCUAAUAAUGCUGAGAAGAAUAAAACACAAUCCAGAAGCAAACUAACCCUU